AAGGGCGGAGGCACUCUAGACGAACUGCCGUUGCAAAACGGAGGAAGGUGGGGAGUGACGUCAAAUCAUCAUGCCCCUUAUGUUCUGGGCUACACACGUGCUACAAUGGCCGGUACAGACGGACGCAAAGCCGCGAGGUGGAGCAAAUCCUAAAAAGCCGGUCUCAGUUCGGAUUGCAGGCUGCAAUUCGCCUGCAUGAAGUCGGAAUCGCUAGUAAUCGCAGGUCAGCAUACUGCGGUGAAUACGUUCCCGGGCCUU
This 258-nucleotide ribosomal RNA is filed under the name uncultured Bacillus sp. Its description in RNAcentral is "partial 16S ribosomal RNA". It matches the Rfam family "Bacterial small subunit ribosomal RNA", at positions 1125 to 1382 of the family's 1533-position model. The record is from RNAcentral. Lineage: Bacteria; Bacillati; Bacillota; Bacilli; Caryophanales; Bacillaceae.